UAGGAUAAUAGUUAAUAAUAACAUUUAAUUUGCAUUUAAAAAUAGCUGAUUAUCAGCUUAUCUUAA
RNAcentral lists this transfer RNA (66 nucleotides) under unidentified. Its description in RNAcentral is "Borboresthes tibialis tRNA-Arg". The record is from RNAcentral.